GAUGCUCCAAAUUCACUUGAUUGUGAUGUUGUCCAUAGAGGGUGUUAGGCCCGUUGGAGUGUUUGAAACUUUUAUUGAUGCUUCCUAUGAGUCGGAUUGUUUGAGAAUGCAGUCCAAAUUGGGUGGUAAACUCCAUCUAAGGCUAAAUACUUGUGUGAGUCCGAUAGCAAACAAGUACCGUGAGGGAAAGUUGAAAAGAACUUUGAAGAGAGAGUUAAAUAGUACGUGAAAUCGCUUAGAGGUAAACGAGUGAAGCCGAAGAUGUUGUAUGGGAUUCAGUUAACUGYGUGUUUUCUUGAUUUUUGCGAAAUCCAACUAGGAAUCGCUUUUAUCGAGCUCUUAAUAUGCGGUUGAUGCACUUUCUGUAUAACAGUACUGCGACCGAUAGCGUCUUUUUUCUGUCGUAAUUUUGAAGGUGAUCAUUCCCUCGGGAAUGGUUUUAUAGCUGGUUACACGGUUAAAUGAUUUAUUGGUGAUUGCGAUUGACAGAAAUUGAUUGGUUUGAUAUUGAUGGUUCUUUUAUAGACUAAUAAUAGGCUAUUUGUGAACUGUUGAUGUUUUUCAUGAUCGAUGUGUU
RNAcentral lists this ribosomal RNA (577 nucleotides) under Dugesia sp. MR1151. RNAcentral describes it as "partial large subunit ribosomal RNA". The record is from RNAcentral. Lineage: Eukaryota; Metazoa; Platyhelminthes; Tricladida; Dugesiidae.